AGUGAACGCUGGCGGUAGGCCUAACACAUGCAAGUCGAACGGCAGCACAGUAAGAGCUUGCUCUUACGGGUGGCGAGUGGCGGACGGGUGAGGAAUACAUCGGAAUCUACUUUUUCGUGGGGGAUAACGUAGGGAAACUUACGCUAAUACCGCAUACGACCUACGGGUGAAAGCAUGGGAUCUUCGGACCUUGCGCGAUUGAAUGAGCCGAUGUCGGAUUAGCUAGUUGGCGGGGUAAAGGCCCACCAAGGCGACGAUCCGUAGCUGGUCUGAGAGGAUGAUCAGCCACACUGGAACUGAGACACGGUCCAGACUCCUACGGGAGGCAGCAGUGGGGAAUAUUGGACAAUGGGCGCAAGCCUGAUCCAGCCAUGCCGCGUGGGUGAAGAAGGCCUUCGGGUUGUAAAGCCCUUUUGUUGGGGAAGAAAAGCAGCAAGUUAAUACCCCGCUGUUCUGACGGUACCCAAAGAAUAAGCACCGGCUAACUUCGUG
RNAcentral lists this ribosomal RNA (492 nucleotides) under uncultured bacterium. RNAcentral describes it as "partial 16S ribosomal RNA". It matches the Rfam family "Bacterial small subunit ribosomal RNA", at positions 29 to 507 of the family's 1533-position model. The record is from RNAcentral.